This is a long non-coding RNA of Megalobrama amblycephala (Wuchang bream), 305 nucleotides long. RefSeq lists it as uncharacterized. The record is from RefSeq and is a predicted model, not a curated record. The transcript is spliced from 3 exons. Lineage: Eukaryota; Metazoa; Chordata; Actinopteri; Cypriniformes; Xenocyprididae.
CACAGAAUGGGUACAGGAGGCUAGGAGUUCGAUUUUAACUAUAAAGCUCUCACUCCGGAGGGUAAACCCUUUGAAGGGAUUAGGGCAUAGGGAUGAGCCCUUCCGAAUGGAACGCAGGGUUAGUGCCCCUGCUGGAACUGAAGUGAAAUCACCUCCCAGAAUGUGUAAAGUCACCACGACAACCCUGUGACAGACAGGUGUCACUCACAUGAUGUCCCAGUCCAGCUCCACCUGCUCCACCUCCUCCAUCAGCCGCACCAUACGGCGUUUAAAGUUGGCUUGGAAACGCACGUCAUCCUCAAAAA